RNAcentral lists this ribosomal RNA (894 nucleotides) under uncultured bacterium. Its description in RNAcentral is "bacterial SSU rRNA". It matches the Rfam family "Bacterial small subunit ribosomal RNA", at positions 55 to 932 of the family's 1533-position model. The record is from RNAcentral.
AUGCAAGUAGAACGCUGAAGGAGGAGCUUGCUCUCUCUGGAUGAGUUGCGAACGGGUGAGUAACGCGUAGGUAACCUGCCUGGUAGCGGGGGAUAACUAUUGGAAACGAUAGCUAAUACCGCAUAACAGUAGAUGUUGCAUGACAUUUGCUUAAAAGGUGCAAUUGCAUCACUACCAGAUGGACCUGCGUUGUAUUAGCUAGUUGGUGGGGUAACGGCUCACCAAGGCGACGAUACAUAGCCGACCUGAGAGGGUGAUCGGCCACACCGGGACUGAGACACGGCCCAAACUCCUACGGGAGGCAGCAGUAGGGAAUCUUCGGCAAUGGACGGAAGUCUGACCGAGCAACGCCGCGUGAGUGAAGAAGGUUUUCGGAUCGUAAAGCUCUGUUGUAAGAGAAGAACGAGUGUGAGAGUGGAAAGUUCACACUGUGACGGUAUCUUACCAGAAAGGGACGGCUAACUACGUGCCAGCAGCCGCGGUAAUACGUAGGUCCCGAGCGUUGUCCGGAUUUAUUGGGCGUAAAGCGAGCGCAGGCGGUUAGAUAAGUCUGAAGUUAAAGGCUGUGGCUUAACCAUAGUACGCUUUGGAAACUGUUUAACUUGAGUGCAAGAGGGGAGAGUGGAAUUCCAUGUGUAGCGGUGAAAUGCGUAGAUAUAUGGAGGAACACCGGUGGCGAAAGCGGCUCUCUGGCUUGUAACUGACGCUGAGGCUCGAAAGCGUGGGGAGCAAACAGGAUUAGAUACCCUGGUAGUCCACGCCGUAAACGAUGAGUGCUAGGUGUUAGACCCUUUCCGGGGUUUAGUGCCGUAGCUAACGCAUUAAGCACUCCGCCUGGGGAGUACGACCGCAAGGUUGAAACUCAAAGGAAUUGACGGGGGCCCGCACAAGCGG